UGGGGAAUAUUGGACAAUGGGCGAAAGCCUGAUCCAGCCAUGCCGCGUGUGUGAAGAAGGUCUUCGGAUUGUAAAGCAUUUUAAGUUGGGAGGAAGGGCAGUAAGCGAAUACCUUGCUGUUUUGACGUUACCGACAGAAUAAGCACCGGCUAACUCUGUGCCAGCAGCCGCGGUAAUACAGAGGGUGCAAGCGUUAAUCGGAAUUACUGGGCGUAAAGCGCGCGUAGGUGGUUCGUUAAGUUGAAUGUGAAAGCCCCGGGCUCAACCUGGGAACUGCAUCCAAAACUGGCGAGCUAGAGUAGGGCAGAGGGUGGUGGAAUUUCCUGUGUAACGGUGAAAUGCGUAGAUAUAGGAAGGAACACAAGUGGCGAAGGCGACCACCUGGGCUCAUACUGACACUGAGGUGCGAAAGCGUGGGGAGCAAACAGG
This 429-nucleotide ribosomal RNA is filed under the name Pseudomonadota bacterium. RNAcentral describes it as "Proteobacteria bacterium partial 16S ribosomal RNA". It matches the Rfam family "Bacterial small subunit ribosomal RNA", at positions 355 to 776 of the family's 1533-position model. The record is from RNAcentral. Lineage: Bacteria; Pseudomonadati; Pseudomonadota.